This 107-nucleotide microRNA precursor is filed under the name Canis lupus familiaris (dog). RNAcentral describes it as "mir-8834 microRNA precursor family". It matches the Rfam family "mir-8834 microRNA precursor family". The record is from Rfam by way of RNAcentral. Lineage: Eukaryota; Metazoa; Chordata; Mammalia; Carnivora; Canidae. RNAcentral also lists the same sequence under 1 other name.
AGGAGGAACAAUCACAGUGGCUGCGGCCAGCUCUGGAGGCCUGGAGUCAGCUCCCGCAGUAACUACAGAGCUCUCAGUCUCCAGGGGCAUGGAGGCUUUGGGGGAGG